GGAGUUGUAGCUCAGUGGCAGAGUACUCACCUAGCAAGUGUGAGGCACUGGGUUCUAUCCUCAGCACCACAA
This 72-nucleotide transfer RNA is filed under the name Marmota monax (woodchuck). Its description in RNAcentral is "tRNA.Ala". It matches the Rfam family "tRNA". Rfam says of the family: Transfer RNA (tRNA) molecules are approximately 80 nucleotides in length. Their secondary structure includes four short double-helical elements and three loops (D, anti-codon, and T loops). Further hydrogen bonds mediate the characteristic L-shaped molecular structure. tRNAs have two regions of fundamental functional importance: the anti-codon, which is responsible for specific mRNA codon recognition, and the 3' end, to which the tRNAs corresponding amino acid is attached (by aminoacyl-tRNA synthetases). tRNAs cope with the degeneracy of the genetic code in two manners: having more than one tRNA (with a specific anti-codon) for a particular amino acid; and 'wobble' base-pairing, i.e. permitting non-standard base-pairing at the 3rd anti-codon position. The record is from RNAcentral. Lineage: Eukaryota; Metazoa; Chordata; Mammalia; Rodentia; Sciuridae.